RNAcentral lists this ribosomal RNA (574 nucleotides) under uncultured Lachnospiraceae bacterium. RNAcentral describes it as "bacterial SSU rRNA". It matches the Rfam family "Bacterial small subunit ribosomal RNA", at positions 69 to 648 of the family's 1533-position model. The record is from RNAcentral. Lineage: Bacteria; Bacillati; Bacillota; Clostridia; Lachnospirales; Lachnospiraceae.
GGAAUGCGACUUCGGUCAAAUGACUUUUGAACUUAGUGGCGGACGGGUGAGUAACGCGUGAGCAACCUGCCUUUCAGAGGGGGAUAACAUUUGGAAACAGAUGCUAAUACCGCAUAAGAUUACAGUACCGCAUGAUACAGUGAUCAAAGGAGCAAUCCGCUGAAAGAUGGGCUCGCGUCCGAUUAGAUAGUUGGUGAGGUAACGGCUCACCAAGUCGACGAUCGGUAGCCGGACUGAGAGGUUGAACGGCCACAUUGGGACUGAGACACGGCCCAGACUCCUACGGGAGGCAGCAGUGGGGAAUAUUGCACAAUGGGCGAAAGCCUGAUGCAGCAACGCCGCGUGAGGGAAGACGGUUUUCGGAUUGUAAACCUCUGUUUUCGGUGACGAAUAAAUGACGGUAACCGAGUAGGAAGCCACGGCUAACUACGUGCCAGCAGCCGCGGUAAUACGUAGGUGGCAAGCGUUAUCCGGAAUUACUGGGUGUAAAGGGAGCGCAGGCGGGAUAGCAAGUCAGCUGUGAAAACUAUGGGCUCAACCCAUAAACUGCAGUUGAAACUGUUAUUCUUGAGUG